UGGGGAAUUUUGGGCAAUGGGGGAGACCCUGACCCAGCGACGCCGCGUGAGGGAAGACGGCCUUCGGGUUGUAAACCUCUUUUGUACGGGAAGAUAAUGACGGUACUGUACGAAUAAGUCCCGGCUAACUACGUGCCAGCAGCCGCGGUAAUACGUAGGGGACGAGCGUUGUCCGGAAUUACUGGGCGUAAAGGGCGCGCAGGCUNGCGUUACAAGUCAGCUGUUAAAAUCAUGGGCUUACCCCAUGAGUGCGGUUGAAACUGUAGUGCUUGAGUACUGUAGAGGCAAGCGGAAUUCCCAGUGUAGCGGUGAAAUGCGUAGAUAUUGGGAGGAACACCGGUGGCGUAGGCGGCUUGCUGGACAGUAACUGACGCUGAGGCGCGAAAGCCAGGGGAGCAA
RNAcentral lists this ribosomal RNA (399 nucleotides) under uncultured bacterium. Its description in RNAcentral is "bacterial SSU rRNA". It matches the Rfam family "Bacterial small subunit ribosomal RNA", at positions 355 to 771 of the family's 1533-position model. The record is from RNAcentral.